Molecule: unclassified non-coding RNA, 345 nt
Filed under: soil metagenome
Description: partial contains 5.8S ribosomal RNA, internal transcribed spacer 2, and large subunit ribosomal RNA
Rfam family: 5.8S ribosomal RNA (bases 1-120)
Source: RNAcentral
GAUGAAGAACGUAGUGAAAUGCGACAAGUAAUGUGAAUUGCAGAAUUCCGUGAAUCAUCGAAUCUUUGAACGCACAUUGCGCCCUCUGGUAUUCUGGAGGGCAUGCCUGUCCGAGCGUCAUUGCUGCCCUCAAGCACGGCUUGUGUGUUGGGCCUCCGUCCUCCUCCCGGGGGACGGGCCCGAAAGGCAGCGGCGGCACCGCGUCCGGUCCUCGAGCGUAUGGGGCUUCGUCACCCGCUCUUGUAGGCCCGGCCGGCGCUUGCCGACACAUCAAUCUUUUUUCCAGGUUGACCUCGGAUCAGGUAGGGAUACCCGCUGAACUUAAGCAUAUCAAUAAGCGGAGGA